RNAcentral lists this long non-coding RNA (1247 nucleotides) under Mastacembelus armatus (zig-zag eel). RNAcentral describes it as "lncRNA (ENSMAMG00000025014.1)". Lineage: Eukaryota; Metazoa; Chordata; Actinopteri; Synbranchiformes; Mastacembelidae. The record is from RNAcentral.
UUGGAAAAAGAUUUCCAGAAAUUAAAAACUAUGGAUCUGGACUGAUCAAUCAGAAGCUCUACAACUUUGAUGCUCCUCCAGGCUGGAGGCUGCAAAGGGGGUUCCCUGUGGAAACAUUGGUAAACUCCUGUUAUAUACAUCAGAGCAGAGUAAACGCAGUGUUAAAAUGUAUCGAGAUGACUAACUCCCUCCCGAUAUGGGGGGAUUUAGUGGGUGGUUGACGUGUAUUUUUUAGCCUACUGCCACGGAUUUAUUAAACAGGCGCCUCCGCCCUCCAAUCCAUGGUCUGCUCUCCCAGACUGGCACACCCACUCCCGCCGUCACUGUGGGAGAGCCAGUUGGGCCUUCUGGGCUUCCUGGUCCUCAGCUCCGCCUCGCCUCGAUCUGGCCGGACAGGGGAAACACUUCUCAGUUAUAGAACAAAAGCAACAACAGACGGACCCGAUGAGGACGAAGUAACGGCGACUGAAAUCCAGACCUAAACCUCACGGACUGACAGAUCUGUGCCCUCCGCGGCGAGAACUAGUCGACGACUGAACUCAUACGAAGGGCGACAAACUUGGUUGCCUCGCAUCUUUGUAUCCCGACCGUAAUCCGUCGAGGUGCUUGAUAAAUAAGACAAGGGUCAAACAGACACAUCGACUGUAUUGUUUCCUCGAACUUGGGCCAUAAAACCCGGAGUGGCUGAGGGAGAAACUCCGGCUUUAUUUUGGUUUUCUUUUCCGCUCAAACGGACCUCGGCCACAAAAGGCUGUUUUGGCGUUUUGGGUUGCUGUUGUUUCACCUGCCUUUGUGACGAGGCUACGGUUUAUUGUUCAGGACUGAGAACUUGGAAGUGGAACAAAGACCAGCUGGGAAGGGGUGAGAAAGUGGACUAUGAUGGAUUUCUCAUAUAUCCCUGUUCCCCACGCUCCCACCAUUUGCGAUCAGUCUCCCUACUCACACAAAACAAAAGUCAGUCACCACGAGUUGGGGGAGGGGAGACCGGUCUGGAUGGAGCGAAUACGACUAGUUUCACUGGGAGUUCAGAACAGGAGUGCAAAGUAGGGGGGGAGGGGGAAACAGCUGUCAGAUAAUUUACUUUGAGAAUGAAUGAGAACAGAAAGUUCUUUAAAGACUUAAAGUCUGUACUGGUUCACAAAGUUUCCGUCUCCCCACUGUGACAUUAUCUGUAAAGUUAAGAUAGUUUGUUGAGACAAAUAAAAACACAACUACAGUGACCUCUCUUUCUUUUUUUUAGGUGAAAC